Molecule: microRNA precursor, 86 nt
Filed under: Columba livia (rock pigeon)
Lineage: Eukaryota; Metazoa; Chordata; Aves; Columbiformes; Columbidae
Description: microRNA cli-mir-458 precursor
Gene: cli-mir-458
Rfam family: mir-458 microRNA precursor family
Source: miRBase by way of RNAcentral
CGUGGUGCAGAUGGCAGCGCCAUUUCCAGAGCUAUAAACAGUCUCAUUGUCAUAGCUCUUUGAAUGGUACUGCCAUAUGUACCGGA